UGGAUGACGGUGACGUUUUGUGCCUUAC
RNAcentral lists this small RNA (28 nucleotides) under Bombyx mori (domestic silkworm). Its description in RNAcentral is "ovarian small RNA-3805". The record is from RNAcentral. Lineage: Eukaryota; Metazoa; Arthropoda; Insecta; Lepidoptera; Bombycidae.